This 467-nucleotide ribosomal RNA is filed under the name uncultured bacterium. Its description in RNAcentral is "partial 16S ribosomal RNA". It matches the Rfam family "Bacterial small subunit ribosomal RNA", at positions 28 to 507 of the family's 1533-position model. The record is from RNAcentral.
GACGAACGCUGGCGGCGUGCUUAACACAUGCAAGUCGAACGGAAAGGCCUCUUUCGGGGGGUACUCACGUGGCGAACGGGUGAGUAACUCGUGAGUAACUUGCCUUUGUAUUUGGGUUAACUUACGGCAACUGGGGGUAAUACCGGACAGGUGAUCUUGUUGCCCGGAGGGGUUUGGAGAGUUUCGGCGGUUGGGGGUGGAUUGGCGGCUUAUCCGCUUGUCGGUGGGGUAGUGGCUUACCAAGGCUUUGCCGGGUAGCCGGCCUGAGGGGGUGACCGGCCACAUUGAGACCUAGAUGCGGCACAGACACCUACGGGAGGCAGCAGUGGGGAAGAUUGAACGAUGGGCGGAAGCCUGAUGCAGCAAGGCCGUGCGCGGGAUGACGGCCUUCGUGUUGUAAAACGCUUUCGCUCAUGACGAAGCUUUGUUUGACGGUAGUGGGUAAAGAAGCACCGGCUAACUACGUG